UGGGGAAUAUUGCGCAAUGGGCGAAAGCCUGACGCAGCGACGCCGCGUGAGGGAUGAAGGUCUUCGGAUCGUAAACCUCUGUCAGCAGGGAAGAACGGUCACUGUGCUAAUCAGCAGUGAAUUGACGGUACCUGCAAAGGAAG
RNAcentral lists this ribosomal RNA (143 nucleotides) under uncultured bacterium. RNAcentral's name for it is "partial 16S ribosomal RNA". It matches the Rfam family "Bacterial small subunit ribosomal RNA", at positions 355 to 490 of the family's 1533-position model. The record is from RNAcentral.